CUGGCCUUUACAGAGCAAUGCUGCUGAGCCCUGGUCCGGGGAGGUUACCUGGAGAUACAGGACAUUUGCAUGGCUGAUGGACCCAACGCCUUCCAGAAGAGUGCUUAGUGCUUGGCUUUGCCCAGCCCAAGAGAGCAAGGGUCUCCUCAAGGAGAAAGCACCAGAGAGAAUUAACGACGUGGGGGAAAGGCGACAAGAACCACCACAGCAUCAGGCCGGGGACACAGUUUAGGCUGCCGCUGUCCCUGCUCAGAGCAGCUCACACAGGUGGUCACUGCGCUCACACAAGAUCCCUACUCUCAACUUACCACUUACGUGUUGGAACAAAGGGCCUGGAGGUGCAGCAGCCCUCUCGCCACCAUGAGGAUGAAGACAUGCCUGCAGAAGAUACCAGAGCAGGAAGGUAGAGGGAGCCUGGGGAGCAGCCUGGUUUCGACCACACUAAGAUUUCUUUAAUCUGACACAGAUAAAGUCCUUCUUUUUUAAACAUCUUCAGGUUUUGUAUUGCAUUCAGUCAAACACAUGCCUAAUAUUCAUGGCACCUUAGGUCUUAACUUUCACUGACUUCAGCAAGGGGUACAGCAAGUUGAGCACAACUAGGGUGGAGGCAGGGCAGAGAAGGCAAUGGCACCCCACUCCAAUAUUCCUGCCUGGAAAAUCCCAUGGACGGAGAAGCCUGGUAGGUUGCAAUCCAUGGGGUCGCUGAGGGUUGGACAGGACUAAGCAA
Molecule: long non-coding RNA, 727 nt
Organism: Bubalus bubalis (water buffalo)
Lineage: Eukaryota; Metazoa; Chordata; Mammalia; Artiodactyla; Bovidae
Exons: 3
Source: RefSeq, a predicted model, not a curated record